AUUGAACGCUGGCGGCAGGCCUAACUCAUGCAAGUCGCACGAGUGGCGGACGGGUGAGUAAUGUCUGGGAAACUGCCUGCUGGAGGGGGAUAACUACUGGAAACGGUAGCUAAUACCGCAUACCAUCAAAUGUGCCCAGAUGGUGUUAGCGUGUGGGUGGGGUAACGGCGCCCCAAGGCUCCGAUCCCUAGCUGGUCUGAGAGGAUGACCAGCCACACGGGAACUGCGACACGGUCCAGACUACUACGUGAGGCAGCAGUGGGGAAUAUUGCACAAUGGGCGCAAGCCUGAUGCAGCCAUGCCGCGUGUAUGAAGAAGGCCUGCGGGUUGUAAAGUACUUUCAGCGGGGAGGCGUUACCCGCAGAAGAAGCACCGGCUAACUCCGUGCCAGCAGCCGCGGUAAUUC
RNAcentral lists this ribosomal RNA (406 nucleotides) under uncultured bacterium. RNAcentral's name for it is "partial 16S ribosomal RNA". It matches the Rfam family "Bacterial small subunit ribosomal RNA", at positions 30 to 526 of the family's 1533-position model. The record is from RNAcentral.